This 253-nucleotide ribosomal RNA is filed under the name uncultured bacterium. Its description in RNAcentral is "partial 16S ribosomal RNA". It matches the Rfam family "Bacterial small subunit ribosomal RNA", at positions 524 to 776 of the family's 1533-position model. The record is from RNAcentral.
UACGAAGGGAGCUAGCGUUGUUCGGAAUCACUGGGCGUAAAGCGCACGUAGGCGGAUGUGUCAGUCAGGGGUGAAAUCCCAGAGCUCAACUCUGGAACUGCCUUUGAUACUGUCGAUCUGGAGUAUGGAAGAGGUGAGUGGAAUUCCGAGUGUAGAGGUGAAAUUCGUAGAUAUUCGGAGGAACACCAGUGGCGAAGGCGGCUCACUGGUCCAUUACUGACGCUGAGGUGCGAAAGCGUGGGGAGCAAACAGG